Wyeomyia smithii (pitcher-plant mosquito) is the source of this 994-nucleotide long non-coding RNA. RefSeq lists it as uncharacterized. The record is from RefSeq and is a predicted model, not a curated record. Lineage: Eukaryota; Metazoa; Arthropoda; Insecta; Diptera; Culicidae. The transcript has 3 exons.
UCCAUCACCCUUAUUCUUGUUUACGGCCGUAUCGCUUUCGUACGAAAGCAGCAGCGGCGUACGAAUGCCAUACGAACGCAUACGAAUCCGAUUCGUUCUAACCAAUUCGAGCUUUCGAACAUCGUUGCUUUCGUACGAACGUGCCAUUCUUGUUUACGUACGAAUGCGUAUCCGUAUUCUUUUUGCUCUCGUUCGCAAACGUCAGUCAAAAGUUGCGAAUCGCUGUACGAAUCGCCGGCGCCGGUAGUUUUUUCUUGUUUUUCUGCCGUUUGGUGUUAGUUUUUUGAAAAAAAAAUUAAACCGAAUAGUUUUUAUUGAUUUGUGAAGUGUAAGUAAAUUCUAAAGAACAUUUGUGAAAAUCCAUUCUCAAAAACCUCCAGUUGAUACAAAUCGCCGUCGCCGAGAAUGUUUUGGUUGUUUCGCGUGAAAAAAAAGCCGCUAGAAACUGAUUGAGGUUUGCCGUUAGUUCUGGGAGAAUGGUGAUAGAAAAAAGGAAUAAGUCGCUACCAUCAAGGUACUACAAAAAUCUGCCGAAUAUUUGGAUCGUCUUCCCGGCAACAGCAAAGCGUCAACCAGCAAGCAGAUUUGAUUGGCGCAGAUAGUUGACUGGGUAACAUGAUACAGGAUUAUUAAUUUAUCAUUGCUCUUGGAUGCCGAUUUGUGUACUAGAAAUAAUCGAUCAGGAGCUACUGGCUACUGGAGAUACAGGAGAUAACUUUGCUGGGUAAAUUAGGCAGUUUCCAACGCUUUUGAAAUUACCAGCAAAUAAGAAGACCAAGAAUACAACAAAGCAACCAAUUUCUUCGGAUGCCUCAAAUUUUCACAAUUGGGUCAAUGAACCACUACAAGCUACAAAGGACAGUUUUGAGAGCUGGUUCCGUUUGGUGUUGACCAAAAAUACAAAUGACGGAUAAUUUUAUUUUAUUUUAUUUAAUAAUGUUUAUUAAUAUUAAGAUUAAGAUUUAAUAAUAAUUUUUUUUAAAUAUUUUCAUAA